AGGAGCAGGAGAAGACAGAGACAGAAUGGAGGAGAGGAGUGAGGCAGAGCAGAGCAAAGACUAAAAAACAGACAAAGCGCAGCAGCGAACACAGAGGGCACAGCUGAAGACAAUAGAACAGAAUUCCACAAAUAACAGCCCUGAAGGGAAAACAGUCAAUGCCAUCUUAUUUGCAAUGAAGAAGUUCAGUGAACUGAUGGGCCCAGAAUGGUCAGUACUCACUCCUCACUUGUUUGCAAAGAAGAAUCUCUGUGAACUGAUCAGUCCUGAAUGCUGGAGAGUUUUUA
Molecule: long non-coding RNA, 287 nt
Organism: Chelonoidis abingdonii (Abingdon island giant tortoise)
Lineage: Eukaryota; Metazoa; Chordata; Testudines; Testudinidae
Source: RefSeq, a predicted model, not a curated record